RNAcentral lists this non-coding RNA (78 nucleotides) under Candidatus Electrothrix marina. RNAcentral describes it as "GEMM cis-regulatory element". It matches the Rfam family "c-di-GMP-I-GGC riboswitch aptamer". The record is from RNAcentral. Lineage: Bacteria; Pseudomonadati; Thermodesulfobacteriota; Desulfobulbia; Desulfobulbales; Desulfobulbaceae.
AGUUGAUAAAGCCACAACCGUCGUGAGGCGGUGUCGGAAAGCCACGGGUCUCUAUGAAGAGACAGCCGGGCUGCCUGC